Molecule: ribosomal RNA, 504 nt
Filed under: uncultured bacterium
Lineage: Bacteria
Description: bacterial SSU rRNA
Rfam family: Bacterial small subunit ribosomal RNA
Source: RNAcentral
ACGAGUUUGAUCAUGGCUCAGGAUGAACGCUAGCGGCAGGCUUAAUACAUGCAAGUCGAGGGGCAGCACGGUUAGCAAUAACUGGUGGCGACCGGCGCACGGGUGCGUAACACGUAUACAAUCUACCUUAAACAGGGGGAUAGCCUUUCGAAAGAGAGAUUAAUACCCCGUAAUAAAUUGAACGGCAUCGUUUGAUUUUGAAAGCUCCGGCGGUUUGAGAUGAGUAUGCGUCUGAUUAGCUAGUUGGUGAGGUAACGGCUCACCAAGGCGACGAUCAGUAGGGGAUCUGAGAGGACUAACCCCCACACUGGUACUGAGACACGGACCAGACUCCUACGGGAGGCAGCAGUAAGGAAUAUUGGUCAAUGGGGGCAAUCCUGAACCAGCCAUGCCGCGUGCAGGAUGACGGCCCUAUGGGUUGUAAACUGCUUUUAUACCAGAGAAAACCCGAGUACGUAUACUCGGUUGAUAGUAUGGUAAGAAUAGGCAUCGGCUAACUUCGUG